CCUUGACAUACUAAGAACUUUCCAGAGAUGGAUUGGUGCCUUCGGGAACUUAGAUACAGGUGCUGCAUGGCUGUCGUCAGCUCGUGUCGUGAGAUGUUGGUUAAGUCCGCAACGAGCGCAACCCUUUUCCUUAUUUGCCAGCGGGUAAUGCCGGGAACUUUAAGGAUACUGCCAGUGACAAACUGGAGGAAGGCGGGGACGACGUCAAGUCAUCAUGGCCCUUACGGCCAGGGCUACACACGUGCUACAAUGGUCGGUACAAAGGGUUGCUACCUCGCGAGAGGAUGCUAAUCUCAAAAAGCCGAUCGUAGUCCGGAUCGCAGUCUGCAACUCGACUGCGUGAAGUCGGAAUCGCUAGUAAUCGCGGAUCAGAAUGCCGCGGUGAAUACGUUCCCGGGCCUUGUACACACCGCCCGUCACACCAUGGGAGUUUGUUGCACCAGAAGUAGGUAGUCUAACCGCAAGGAGGACGCUUACCACGGUGUGGCCGAUGACUGGGGUGAAGUCGUAACAAGGUAAGCGUAGAUGA
Molecule: ribosomal RNA, 529 nt
Filed under: uncultured bacterium
Lineage: Bacteria
Description: bacterial SSU rRNA
Rfam family: Bacterial small subunit ribosomal RNA
Source: RNAcentral